GGGGAAACCUGAAUCUGCCCUGGGAGCAGCUGCGUGCGAGAGGCGCUUUGAAGGUGCCUGGCUGCUCCUCAUGAGGCAACGAUGGCACAGCAAUGAGUGGAGGAGAGACACUGGGUCUAUUAACAUCCAUUUGAGGAGGAGUGGUUGGUGCAAACUUGCACCUUACUGGUCACCAGCAAGCCUCACAAGACAGAGGUUAUUGAUCCUCUGGCCAAUGUACAGAUGUACAGCCUCAACUGGAACUUGUCUCAAACUAGAUGCUGUCAGUUUCAAUCACACAACACCAAUCUCUUGGAAAAUCCAUGUGAUUUCAUGGUGCAAGUCCAAAAAGAUGUGAAGAAGUUGACUCAUGAUACAUUUGGACUAUUUGGAGUUGUUGGUGGAGAUGAAUG
Long non-coding RNA from Passer domesticus (house sparrow), 392 nucleotides. RefSeq lists it as uncharacterized. The transcript has 2 exons. Lineage: Eukaryota; Metazoa; Chordata; Aves; Passeriformes; Passeridae. The record is from RefSeq and is a predicted model, not a curated record.